Sus scrofa (pig) is the source of this 573-nucleotide non-coding RNA. The record is from RefSeq and is a predicted model, not a curated record. NCBI's taxonomy places the organism in Eukaryota, Metazoa, Chordata, Mammalia, Artiodactyla, Suidae.
CCAAGCAAUGUAACUAAAGAGGAAAAGUGAAAAAGGCAAGGAACAAUUUUUCCCUCAGCCUCCAGAAGGAAUGCAGUUAUACCUGCACCUUGACUUUAGCCCUGUAAGAGCCACCUUGGACUUCUGACCUCCAGAACUAGUUCACUGAUGAGCCAGUUCAUUGUUGAUGCAGCAAAGCACCUGCAUAUGCUUAGAACUUUAGAUUGCUGCAAGAGAAGGUGUGAUCACAGAUUCAGAAAUACUUCACCAGGAUGAAAACAGACAAGAUGAGCCAAAGAGCUAGAAGUCUUGGUCCACCACACUGCAGUUCUGUGAUAUCAUUGGUCCAGAGAGGGAUCUCUCCCCUAGGAUGUACUAACCCUCUUUGUUCAUUGACUCUGGAAACUCCUUCUUUAGAAACCCCCUCUUUUAUAUCCAGGAAUGCUUUGGGCUGCAGGAGUCUAUUUUUAUCAAGCAGGGGUCUAUUUAUUAAAAAGUAGAAAAUACUAAGUGACUACAAGUCUUUGUUCAGCGGUUCUGUGACAGCAGCUGCAAUGUCUCCAUGAUUUUCUUGGGCUUUCUUCAUGGCUAUAU